Molecule: unclassified non-coding RNA, 499 nt
Filed under: uncultured Glomeromycotina
Lineage: Eukaryota; Fungi; Glomeromycota
Description: SSU rRNA
Rfam family: Eukaryotic small subunit ribosomal RNA
Source: RNAcentral
CCAAUAGCGUAUAUUAAAGUUGUUGCAGUUAAAAAGCUCGUAGUUGAAUUUCGGGAUCAGUUGGACGGUCGUGCCUCGGUACGUACUGGUCAAAUUGAUUCCUACCUUCUGACGAACCACGAUGUCAUUAAUUUGGUGUCGUGGGGAAUCAGGACUGUUACUUUGAAAAAAUUAGAGUGUUUAAAGCAGGCUCGCGCUUGAAUACAUUAGCAUGGAAUAAUGAAAUAGGACGUUUGAUUCUAUUUUGUUGGUUUCUAGGAUCGACGUAAUGAUUAAUAGGGAUAGUUGGGGGCAUUAGUAUUCAAUUGUCAGAGGUGAAAUUCUUGGAUUUAUUGAAGACUAACUACUGCGAAAGCAUUUGCCAAGGAUGUUUUCAUUAAUCAAGAACGAAAGUUAGGGGAUCGAAGACGAUCAGAUACCGUCGUAGUCUUAACCAUAAACUAUGCCGACUAGGGAUCGGAUGAUGUUAAUUUUUUAAUGACUCAUUCGGCGCCUUACG